This 515-nucleotide ribosomal RNA is filed under the name uncultured archaeon. RNAcentral describes it as "bacterial SSU rRNA". It matches the Rfam family "Archaeal small subunit ribosomal RNA", at positions 345 to 859 of the family's 1478-position model. The record is from RNAcentral.
AACCUUUACACUGCACGACAGUGCGAUAGGGGGACUCCGAGUGUGAGGGCAUAUAGCCCUCGCUUUUCUGUACCGUAAGGUGGUACAGGAACAAGGACUGGGCAAGACCGGUGCCAGCCGCCGCGGUAAUACCGGCAGUCCGAGUGAUGGCCGAUAUUAUUGGGCCUAAAGCGUCCGUAGCUUGCUGUGUAAGUCCAUUGGGAAAUCGACCAGCUCAACUGGUCGGCGUCCGGUGGAAACUACACAGCUUGGGGCCGAGAGACUCAACGGGUACGUCCGGGGUAGGAGUGAAAUCCUGUAAUCCUGGACGGACCACCAAUGGGGAAACCACGUUGAGAGACCGGACCCGACAGUGAGGGACGAAAGCCAGGGUCUCGAACCGGAUUAGAUACCCGGGUAGUCCUGGCUGUAAACAAUGCUCGCUAGGUAUGUCACGCGCCAUGAGCACGUGAUGUGCCGUAGUGAAGACGAUAAGCGAGCCGCCUGGGAAGUACGUCCGCAAGGAUGAAACUUAA